This 377-nucleotide ribosomal RNA is filed under the name uncultured bacterium. RNAcentral's name for it is "bacterial SSU rRNA". It matches the Rfam family "Bacterial small subunit ribosomal RNA", at positions 521 to 896 of the family's 1533-position model. The record is from RNAcentral.
UAAUACGGAGGGUGCGAGCGUUGCUCGGAAUUAUUGGGCGUAAAGCGUACGCAGGCGGCCGAUCAAGUCGAGUGUGAAAUCCCGGGGCUCAACCCCGGACAUGCAUUCGAGACUGACUGGCUUGAGUGCGGGAGAGGGAAGCGGAAUUCCUGGUGUAGAGGUGAAAUUCGUAGAUAUCAGGAGGAACACCGGUGGCGAAAGCGGCUUCCUGGCCCGACACUGACGCUCAUGUACGAAAGCGUGGGGAGCAAACAGGAUUAGAUACCCUGGUAGUCCACGCCGUAAACGAUGAGUGCUAGCUGCUGGGAAUGUUUACCGUCUCAGUGGCGAAGCUAACGCAUUAAGCACUCCGCCUGGGAAGUACGGCCGCAAGGCUA